UACGUAGGGGGCUAGCGUUGCUCGGAAUCACUGGGCGUAAAGGGUGCGUAGGCGGGGCUUUAAGUCAGAGGUGAAAUCCUGGAGCUCAACUCCAGAACUGCCUUUGAUACUGAGGAUCUUGAGUUCGGGAGAGGUGAGUGGAACUGCGAGUGUAGAGGUGAAAUUCGUAGAUAUUCGCAAGAACACCAGUGGCGAAGGCGGCUCACUGGCCCGAUACUGACGCUGAGGCACGAAAGCGUGGGGAGCAAACAGG
RNAcentral lists this ribosomal RNA (253 nucleotides) under uncultured bacterium. RNAcentral describes it as "partial 16S ribosomal RNA". It matches the Rfam family "Bacterial small subunit ribosomal RNA", at positions 524 to 776 of the family's 1533-position model. The record is from RNAcentral.